AAUGGGGGUGAUAAUAAAACAGGGGGAAAACCCGUCCGAGGGAAGCUGAAUGGAUGGAGCCAGAGAGACGUCACGGCCAGCCGCAGCCAUGAAGACCGAGCGGUCCAGCCUCCGGCAACUCACUUGGUCUCCAUCUCCAGAGCCGCUCGCUUCGCGCUUUUGGAGAGCGGACGCCGCAGCGACUCGCAGGCGACGGCGGAUCCCUGGAGAGACAUUCAGCGGCCUCACAACACUUGGCUUGUAGGUCAGAACUUGGGCCAUGUCGCUUCGACUGCAGCUUGAGAGGAUGGGUAGCCUUAGGGGUUGGUUGUUAUCUUUGGUUAUCUAGCUGUAUGAGUGAUGUACAUUCUUCAUAAAGCUAGAUAACCGAAAGUAACAAGAAUCCCAUUACACUCCUGAAAAGGCAUCAAGACCCCAAACGCAUCUCCCUCCAAAUAAAAGAGCACAAACUCUGCCAGAAGAACUGUAAAAAGGAACAAGAAAAUGGACAUUUUAAAGAAGAUGGAGCUCAGUGCAUCAAAAAGGCUACCACACCAAUGAAGGAAAGCUGGCAAAAGAAUACUGAAAAACAGAGAAGAAGGAGGAGGAGGGGUUGCUGUUGAUUCUGCCCUCCCUCUCUCCUCGCCCUCCUCUGCAUCGCCUCUUCCCUCCUCCUCCUCUUCCCUUCCUCCUCCACUCCAUCCUCAGCAGACUGCCCCUUUUUCCUGUACAGCGAAACGCAGCCCGCGCCACCAUCUUAGAGCAACGCUGGCAUGAAAUGGAAGUGGGAAGACCACUCAGUGCAGAUAAAUGCUUGUGCUGAGGCAUCCGGAGUGGACUGAACACACGACGGGGGGGACAGCGGGACUCCUUCAUUGGCCGUUUGCUGCCUCUCAGCUGGAGUAAACAAGGAUGACAGUGUUGCUGUCUGAGUCCGUGGUGAUUCCCAUCGUGACUGUGGAGCACUCUUCAUACCUCUCGAUGUUGCUGAUUGAUGCAUUAUUUCGACAGUCGACCUGGACUGUUUGUCAAACGCCUUUUGGUGUUUUUAGCUGAAGAAACGUCAUCGUGGACUGUGAUUGUGAUAACCCGUGGGCUCGGACAGAAGAUCAGCAGCUCCGGGGGUGGACGAUCUAGUCCAUAAUUGUGACUUUUUUUUGGAGAAUGUAAAACUGAAUUUUGUAAUUAUUAUCUUGUAUAUUUUCCUAUAAACAAUUCUACUUAGACAUGAAGCAAUAUUAUGUGUCUUCAACUAACAUAGGCUCCACUUACUUUAGGUUGUAUUUGAUGAGUUGUAGCCCACCUUUUGUUCAGUUUCUGUUCGGUUAUAGUUGCUAGGACUCAAAAGACACGUGAAUGUGAGACCCACGGCAGCAGUGAAUAAUACUGCACUGCGAUUGGACAGCUCCAUGUGUCGGCUGACACAAUGGCGAAGGAGUGAGCUGUCGUCUUUAUACUCUAUGCAACUGUUUUUUUGUUCCUUCUUUCUUUUUGUCUUGGGCGUAGCCCCUCUCAUCCUUACAUUGGAUUUUGUUUUUGGGUUACCACUUUAUUGACAUUCCUUCAGACAUCAUGAAAAGAAAUGGUUUUUGAGGAGCCUACAUUCCCGUUGUUAAUAUACUGAAACACAAAUCGUGUGCGAGCGUGUGACAGAUGACAGAAUACAGCUCAGUGUCAUCAGUGGAUGGAUUGAAUCUCAUAUUUGCAGCCUUGACACACUUUGAUUUGCCUGUGCAGCCAUGAGCCAUUGUCUGACUUAAUAUUCCUAAUAGCAGGAGUGUGUUUGAUCAGCAGGAUGGAGUUCAUGGCUGCAUGUAUACAGAACAGGCCACACUAUUAAAACCUGCUUCCCAGCAGGCUCAGAAGCACAGCAGUUUGCUUCAUAACAGUUACCUGCUUCAGUGUAAUGAUACAUCAUUGGGUGAGACAUGACAAAUACAUUGGCUUCAAACACUGCCUUAAUUUCCUGUUCUUGACAUUAAAACACACACACACACACACACACACACACACACACACACACACACACACCCAAAUGCAAUAAGGCAAGUACUAUCGCAGCCUAAUUCAUUCUAUAUUAAUUUUCGGGAAGUGGCAAAUUUUUUAUUACGAUUGAUAAUCUAUGCAAAUCUUUUAAAUAUUACUUUAAACAAUCUAUGUCUAUGCAGUGCUUUUGCAAUUGAUUCAAGGGAGACUAUCUAGGCCUAAUUUAGAAAAUGUAUUCUUUUGAUAAUCAUGCACAUCCCAGUGCUCAAGACAAUUACUUAUCUGCCUGGAUAAGCUUGAAAUUAUGUUUUUAAUCUCUAGCAAAAAAAAAAAAAAAGCACUCUUCUGGUAUCAGUCCAGAGGCAUGAAAACCAUGAAUUGUGGUCUAAAAUAAUUAAAUCAGUUGCACUAAAUCUCUUUUUUCCUUAAAUGCAGAUCAAACAUAUCUAUUCAGCUCUGCCUUGCAUUGCUUAUUGUUUUAUAGAAGCAGCAAUGUUUGUGUUAUGCAAUCUAAGAGCUGUGAAUGAGUGUUCACCACAUGUGCCUUUAUAUGAAAAACUGUGUUGGAAUAGUAAUAAAGGUUUACAUUGAAAACAA
Acanthochromis polyacanthus (spiny chromis) is the source of this 2562-nucleotide long non-coding RNA. RefSeq lists it as uncharacterized. The transcript is spliced from 5 exons. Lineage: Eukaryota; Metazoa; Chordata; Actinopteri; Pomacentridae. The record is from RefSeq and is a predicted model, not a curated record.